CUACUUACCUGGCAGGAGCAAUUCCAUGAUCAAGAAGGUGGUUCACCCAAGGCGAGGCUCAGCAAUUGCACUCAGACUCUCUACUGCAUAAUUUCUGAUAAUUACCUCUGACUUUGUAACAGAGGUAA
Molecule: small nuclear RNA, 128 nt
Organism: Ictalurus punctatus (channel catfish)
Lineage: Eukaryota; Metazoa; Chordata; Actinopteri; Siluriformes; Ictaluridae
Gene: U1
Rfam family: U1 spliceosomal RNA
About the family: U1 is a small nuclear RNA (snRNA) component of the spliceosome (involved in pre-mRNA splicing).
Source: Ensembl